This 2357-nucleotide long non-coding RNA is filed under the name Anser brachyrhynchus (Pink-footed goose). RNAcentral's name for it is "lncRNA (ENSABRG00000016972.1)". The record is from RNAcentral. Lineage: Eukaryota; Metazoa; Chordata; Aves; Anseriformes; Anatidae.
AUGACCCAUCCAGCAAAUGAAAAAUUAAUAUGUGUCCGCUCGGCCUGGCAGCAGCUGAGCAUCACCCAUCUGUCAAGGCAGGACCAGAAACUCGCCGCUAAAUGUCGCGGGAGGAAACUGGAUGCAUGGGGUGCCCCGGGAGUCCCCAGAACCAGGGGCAGCCACUCAUUAAAAAGUAAUCACCUUGUACGAGGAGGAUAUGAACAGCCCAAGGUCAGAUCCAUAAUUGCGUUAUUUCUGGAGCACAUACCUGGCUCGGGCGACCAACGGCCACGCUCUGACCCCAGCCCUGCUGCCCCCCCGGGAGCCGAGCCCUGCCCCACUGCACAGCUUGGAGCUGAGGAAGAGGAAGAUGAAGGUGGAAACGUCUCGGCAUCGGCAGCCCUCUGCCAGUGCUGCCCACCAGCGCACCCACAUCACGCUACGGGGACGUCGCUCUCCAUCCACCCCAAGCACCCGCAACACCUAGGGGGGGAAAUAUUAUUUAUUUUCACCUUGCUGGCACUCGACUGUUUUAUAAGCGUGAAGCUGCAAAGCAUAAGAUAAAACUGUAAGGUGCAGGUGAGAAAAUGCCAAAAUAGCAGGCGGGAAGCUGUGCUGCUUGCACCAGCAGCUCUGCCGCCUGCAGACCCAAGCGCCUCUCGCAUCCAGCUCGGCUGCCACGUCCCUGUCCCCUCCUCGCUGCCCAAUUCCCCAGCUCCCAGCCAGCACCAACAUCCUCCUCCUGUCGGGACACACGGCUGAGCACGGGGGCUGCCCACCCCGUAAAUCCAUUUCCUGCAUUCCUCACCCCGGUAAGCAGGGAGCCCCUGGGGCUCAUUCACACGUGGAGCCGAUGAGGAUGACGGGCACCUCAGCGCGCUCUCGGGUUACUACAAACCCACCCAGCACAUAAAAUCCUUCCCAGCGCUGUUAUUUAUUCCCCCGGGCACAGGAGCUGCAGGCGAGGAGCAGGCGAGUCCCUGCCCGACAAACGGGGGCCACGAGGUUUAGCCCGCUCGCAGCACGUUAUUGUUUCAGCAGACUUAUGCUUGCAACAUGUGGCCUGAUUCAGCAUUUCGAGGGAGGAGGGGAAGAUGCUCUGGGAACCGGCUGGAGCAUGGGGCUGGGAUGGGGCUGGAGCAUGGGGGACGGGAUGGGGAUGGGACAGGGAUGGGACAGGGACGUGGUGGCCCUAGAUCUGACCGAACUAUGCAGAAUACGUAAGAAAAUCCCCACGUCUCAGCAUCGGAAGCAGGAAUGCUGCCGCAAGGUUCCAGCGCUGGGCUUUAUGCUGCCUGAUCACGCAAGGCCAGCUCGGGAGCCUGGAGUCACCGCCGGCGACAUUGGGAGCAGAACACGGAGCGAUGCCCCAAGCAGGCAGGACCUGGCCAUGGCAUUCGGGACAAGCCCUUCACAACCUCUCUAACACCUCGCGCACAGCGCAGGUUCCCAGCACAUCGCCCCUGGCAUUUCGUUACACCCCUCUGCAGCCACCGGUCCCCUCACCACCGAUUACACCCAUACCAGCCCGUGCCGGGAGGCGUCGGGAUGCGGGACGCAGGCGGGUGCUCCGCGGGGUUCCCCCCAUCGUGAGCACACGCUGCUGCUCCCCUGCACCCAUCCUUUCCACUUUUCCUUCGCAGAGGAGCAUUGCUGCAUGCAGCCCUUACAAUACAGGCGGUGCCAAAGGAGGAGAGGAGCCGGGGCUCGCCGCAAUCCCCGCUGAAAAUGUCCCCUUGCAUCACGGAGCUGCCACGUCCCCGCAGAGGACGAGGCACGAGACAAAGCCGUCCGGCAGCUGCUGCUGCUGCCGCCGCUGCUUUCGGAGGCCUAAAGCAACACGAAGGGAGAUUAAUGACAGCGAGAGCAGCUGAGCUGCUCAGCCACCGGCCAGGGGACGACGGGACCCAGGCUCCCGCGUCCCCUGCUGCCACGAGUCCCUUCCCAGCUCGGUGCUGCCGCACCUCUCAUCUAUUUACACAGCAAAUUCUUUGUCAGGGACAGCCUCCUCUUAUGAGUUUGGCCAGGGCAGGAGAAAGGGGCACUUAUUCAGCUAUUAUUCAGCUUUUUUUUUGUAGGCAAGACAAGUGUGGGUUAAAGUGCAAUUUGUCUUGACAUUAGUUUUCACUUUCUUGGGGGAAAAAAAAAAAAGAAAAAAAAAAAAAGUGGCUCUUUUGAGGGAAAACACUCGCCUGGGCACCGCAACCCCAGCAGCCUGGGGAUGCCUCUGCUGCUCCUGGCCGGUCUCCAAACGGCACCCAAAAUGGGGGGGUCCUGGUCCAGGGCUUGGGGCCCUGGGCACCUCUGCAAUGCAGACCGUGACGGCAUCGCUGCAAUGUAAUAAACUCUCCUAAUUUUUCCUUGAUCGAGUUAUC